This 1290-nucleotide ribosomal RNA is filed under the name metagenome. RNAcentral describes it as "bacterial LSU rRNA". It matches the Rfam family "Bacterial large subunit ribosomal RNA", at positions 1654 to 2925 of the family's 2925-position model. The record is from RNAcentral.
UCGACACAGGUAGGUAGGGAGAGAAUCCCAAGGCGCGCGAGAGAACCCUCGUUAAGGAACUCGGCAAAAUGACCCCGUAACUUAGGGAGAAGGGGUGCUCCGCUAGUGUGAAUAUUAUUUACUGAUAUGAGCAUGAGGGAGCCGCAGUGAUCAGGCCCAGGCGACUGUUUACCAAAAACACAGGUCUCUGCAAAAUCGAAAGAUGAAGUAUAGAGGCUGACGCCUGCCCGGUGCCGGAAGGUUAAGAGGAGAGCUUAGCGGUAACGCGAAGGUUUGAGCCGAAGCCCCGGUGAACGGCGGCCGUAACUAUAACGGUCCUAAGGUAGCGAAAUUCCUUGUCUGGUAAGUUCAGACCCGCACGAAAGGCGUAACGAUCUGGGCACUGUCUCGACGAGGGGCUCGGUGAAAUUGUAAUACCGGUGAAGAUGCCGGUUACCUGCGAUAGGACAGAAAGACCCCGUGGAGCUUUACUGCAGCUUGAUAUUGGAUUUUGGUAAUGCAUGUACAGGAUAGGUGGGAGACAGGGAAAGCAGUUCGCAAGGACUGCUGGAGUCACCGGUGGGAUACCACUCUUGGAUUACUGGAGUUCUAACCUGGCACCGUGAACCGGUGUAGGGACAGUGUCUGGCGGGCAGUUUGACUGGGGCGGUCGCCUCCAAAAGAGUAACGGAGGCGCCCAAAGGUUUCCUCAGCGCGGAUGGAAAUCGCGCGAAGAGUGUAAAGGCAUAAGGGAGCUUGACUGCGAGACAGACAUGUCGAGCAGGGACGAAAGUCGGGCUUAGUGAUCCGGCGGUACCGAGUGGAAGGGCCGUCGCUCAUCGGAUAGAAGCUACCCCGGGGAUAACAGGCUUAUCUCCCCCAAGAGUUCACAUCGACGGGGAGGUUUGGCACCUCGAUGUCGGCUCAUCACAUCCUGGGGCUGGAGAAGGUCCCAAGGGUUGGGCUGUUCGCCCAUUAAAGUGGUACGUGAGCUGGGUUCAGAACGUCGUGAGACAGUUCGGUCCCUAUCCAUCGCAGGCGCAGGAGAAUUGAGAGGAUCUGUCCCUAGUACGAGAGGACCGGGAUGGACAGACCGCUGGUGUACCAGUUGUUCCGCCAGGAGCAUAGCUGGGUAGCUAUGUCUGGAAGUGAUAAGCGCUGAAAGCAUCUAAGCGCGAAGCCAACCUCAAGAUGAGUUCUCCCACUUCGUAAGAAGGUAAGGUCCCACAGAGAUUAUGUGGUUGAUAGGCCGGAGGUGUAAGUGUAGUGAUGCAUUAAGCUGACCGGUACUAAUAGACCGAGGGCUUGACC